GAUCCCGUAGCUCAGCCGGUAGAGCACGUGACUUUUAAUCAUGGGGUCGUGGGUUCGAAUCCCACCGGGAUCACCA
This 76-nucleotide transfer RNA is filed under the name Nitrospirillum amazonense. RNAcentral's name for it is "tRNA-Lys". It matches the Rfam family "tRNA". Rfam says of the family: Transfer RNA (tRNA) molecules are approximately 80 nucleotides in length. Their secondary structure includes four short double-helical elements and three loops (D, anti-codon, and T loops). RNAcentral also lists the same sequence under 8 other names. Lineage: Bacteria; Pseudomonadati; Pseudomonadota; Alphaproteobacteria; Rhodospirillales; Azospirillaceae. The record is from RNAcentral.